GUAGGUGGCAAGCGUUGUCCGGAAUUAUUGGGCGUAAAGCGCGCGCAGGCGGUUCUUUAAGUCUGAUGUGAAAGCCCACGGCUCAACCGUGGAGGGUCAUUGGAAACUGGAGAACUUGAGUACAGAAGAGGAAAGCGGAAUUCCACGUGUAGCGGUGAAAUGCGUAGAGAUGUGGAGGAACACCAGUGGCAAAGGCGGCUUUCUGGUCUGUAACUGACGCUGAGGCGCGAAAGCGUGGGGAGCAAACAGGGAUUAGAUACCCUGGUAGUCCACGCCGUAAACGAUGAGUGCUAAGUGUUAGGGGGGUUUCCGCCCCCUUAGUGCUGCAGCUAACGCAUUAAGCACUCCGCCUGGGGAUACGGCCGCAAGGCUG
This 373-nucleotide ribosomal RNA is filed under the name uncultured organism. RNAcentral describes it as "partial 16S ribosomal RNA". It matches the Rfam family "Bacterial small subunit ribosomal RNA", at positions 527 to 896 of the family's 1533-position model. The record is from RNAcentral.